GAUGAACGCUGGCGGCGUGCCUAAUACAUGCAAGUCGAGCGAACAGACGAGGAGCUUGCUCCUCUUACGUUAGCGGCGGACAGGUGAGUAAAACGUGGAUAACCUACCUAUAAGACUGGGAUAACUUCGGGAAACCGGAGCUAAUAACGGAUAAUAUAUUGAACCGCAAGGUUCAAUAGUGCAAGACGGCUUUGUUGUCAAUUAUAGAUUGAUCCGCACCGCAUUAGCUAGUUGGAAAGGUAACGGCUUACCAAGGCGACGAUGCGUAGCCGACCUGAGAGGGUGAUCAGCCACACUGGAACUGAGACACGGUCCAGACUCCUACGGGAGGCAGCAGUAGGGAAUCUUCCGCAAUGGGCGAAAGCCUGACGGAGCAACGCCGCGUGAAUGAUGAAGGUCUUCGGAUCGUAAAACUCUUUUAUUAGGGAAGAAAAAAUAUGUAAGUAACUAUCCACUCCUUGACGGUACCUAAACAAAAAGCCACGGCUAACUACGUG
RNAcentral lists this ribosomal RNA (497 nucleotides) under uncultured bacterium. RNAcentral's name for it is "partial 16S ribosomal RNA". It matches the Rfam family "Bacterial small subunit ribosomal RNA", at positions 28 to 507 of the family's 1533-position model. The record is from RNAcentral.